Molecule: ribosomal RNA, 253 nt
Filed under: Bacteroides stercoris ATCC 43183
Lineage: Bacteria; Pseudomonadati; Bacteroidota; Bacteroidia; Bacteroidales; Bacteroidaceae
Description: partial 16S ribosomal RNA
Rfam family: Bacterial small subunit ribosomal RNA
Source: RNAcentral
UACGGAGGAUUCGAGCGUUAUCCGGAUUUAUUGGGUUUAAAGGGAGCGUAGGCGGGUUGUUAAGUCAGUUGUGAAAGUUUGCGGCUCAACCGUAAAAUUGCAGUUGAUACUGGCGACCUUGAGUGCAACAGAGGUAGGCGGAAUUCGUGGUGUAGCGGUGAAAUGCUUAGAUAUCACGAAGAACUCCGAUUGCGAAGGCAGCUUACUGGAUUGUAACUGACGCUGAUGCUCGAAAGUGUGGGUAUCAAACAGG